AGUGAACGCUGGCGGUAGGCCUAACACAUGCAAGUCGAACGGCAGCACAGUAAGAGCUUGCUCUUACGGGUGGCGAGUGGCGGACGGGUGAGGAAUACAUCGGAAUCUACUUUUUCGUGGGGGAUAACGUAGGGAAACUUACGCUAAUACCGCAUACGGCCUACGGGUGAAAGCAGGGGAUCUUCGGACCUUGCGCGAUUGAAUGAGCCGAUGUCGGAUUAGCUAGUUGGCGGGGUAAAGGCCCACCAAGGCGACGAUCCGUAGCUGGUCUGAGAGGAUGAUCCGCCACACUGGAACUGAGACACGGUCCAGACUCCUACGGGAGGCAGCAGUGGGGAAUAUUGGACAAUGGGCGCAAGCCUGAUCCAGCCAUACCGCGUGGGUGAAGAAGGCCUUCGGGUUGUAAAGCCCUUUUGUUGGGAAAGAAAAGCAGCAGGUUAAUACCCCGCUGUUCUGACGGUACCCAAAGAAUAAGCACCGGCUAACUUCGUG
This 492-nucleotide ribosomal RNA is filed under the name uncultured bacterium. RNAcentral describes it as "partial 16S ribosomal RNA". It matches the Rfam family "Bacterial small subunit ribosomal RNA", at positions 29 to 507 of the family's 1533-position model. The record is from RNAcentral.